GAUGAACGCUGGCGGCGUGCCUAAUACAUGCAAGUCGAACGCGCAGCGAAAGGUGCUUGCACCUUUCAAGCGAGUGGCGAACGGGUGAGUAACACGUGGAUAACCUGCCUCAAGGCUGGGGAUAACAUUUGGAAACAGAUGCUAAUACCGAAUAAAACUUAGUAUCGCAUGAUACAAAGUUAAAAGGCGCUACGGCGUCACCUAGAGAUGGAUCCGCGGUGCAUUAGUUAGUUGGUGGGGUAAAGGCUUACCAAGACGAUGAUGCAUAGCCGAGUUGAGCGCCUGAUCGGCCACAUUGGGACUGAGACACGGCCCAAACUCCUACGGGAGGCUGCAGUAGGGAAUCUUCCACAAUGGGCGCAAGCCUGAUGGAGCAACGCCGCGUGUGUGAUGAAGGCUUUCGGGUCGUAAAGCACUGUUGUAUGGGAAGAAAUGCUAAAAUAGGGAAUGAUUUUAGUUUGACGGUACCAUACCAGAAAGGGACGGCUAAAUACGUGCCAGCAGCCGCGGUAA
This 513-nucleotide ribosomal RNA is filed under the name uncultured bacterium. RNAcentral describes it as "partial 16S ribosomal RNA". It matches the Rfam family "Bacterial small subunit ribosomal RNA", at positions 28 to 523 of the family's 1533-position model. The record is from RNAcentral.